Molecule: non-coding RNA, 21 nt
Filed under: Rattus norvegicus (Norway rat)
Lineage: Eukaryota; Metazoa; Chordata; Mammalia; Rodentia; Muridae
Source: RNAcentral
UGAUUGAUCCCGCCUAGGCCC